GCCUUCGGGUUGUAAAGCACUUUUGUCCGGAAAGAAAUCCUUGGCUCUAAUACAGUCGGGGGAUGACGGUACCGGAAGAAUAAGCACCGGCUAACUACGUGCCAGCAGCCGCGGUAAUACGUAGGGUGCAAGCGUUAAUCGGAAUUACUGGGCGUAAAGCGUGCGCAGGCGGUUUGCUAAGACCGAUGUGAAAUCCCCGGGCUCAACCUGGGAACUGCAUUGGUGACUGGCAGGCUAGAGUAUGGCAGAGGGGGGUAGAAUUCCACGUGUAGCAGUGAAAUGCGUAGAGAUGUGGAGGAAUACCGAUGGCGAAGGCAGCCCCCUGGGCCAAUACUGACGCUCAUGCACGAAAGCGUGGGGAGCAAACAGGAUUAGAUACCCUGGUAGUCCACGCCCUAAACGAUGUCAACUAGUUGUUGGGGAUUCAUUUCCUUAGUAACGUAGCUAACGCGUGAAGUUGACCGCCUGGGGAGUACGGUCGCAAGAUUAAAACUCAAAGGAAUUGACGGGGACCCGCACAAGCGGUGGAUGAUGUGGAUUAAUUCGAUGCAACGCGAAAAACCUUACCUACCCUUGACAUGGUCGGAAUCCUGCUGAGAGGCGGGAGUGCUCGAAAGAGAACCGGCGCACAGGUGCUGCAUGGCUGUCG
Molecule: ribosomal RNA, 649 nt
Filed under: Burkholderia sp.
Lineage: Bacteria; Pseudomonadati; Pseudomonadota; Betaproteobacteria; Burkholderiales; Burkholderiaceae
Description: bacterial SSU rRNA
Rfam family: Bacterial small subunit ribosomal RNA
Source: RNAcentral